Molecule: long non-coding RNA, 578 nt
Filed under: Nicotiana benthamiana
Lineage: Eukaryota; Viridiplantae; Streptophyta; Magnoliopsida; Solanales; Solanaceae
Description: long non-coding RNA (NBEN_LNC037542)
Source: RNAcentral
UGCAUAUGAUCUUACUAUCUUUAGUAAAUAGUGCAUGAAAGUAUAUGUGAUUUGAUUAGAAAGAAGUAAAACCUCAGAAUUCUAUGAAGCUGAAUAUGAUAUAUUAUUAUACGUAAAAUGUGAAGUAUACUUAUAACAUAUGUCUGCUCACCAUAUAUAAUUCUAAAGUUGCCUUGAAAUUGCAUAAUCCUAUUUCCUCUCUGAAAUUUCCUCUCAAAAUCCUCUGGAAAAAAAUCCAUUCCCAUUCUGCACCAAGACCUAGGUAUAUAUACAUCUACCUCGAAGCUUCUAUUCCUUUCUUCAAGAAAGAUAUGAAAAUAUUAUUUGUAGAACGAAUCUGGACGGAUGGAAGGAGAGGAUCGAUUUGAAAUCAAUCCAUAACCCCUAUUUUCUCGAAAUUCAUUCUCAAGAAAGCACAUAGGAGAGGAAAAUCUAUCAGAGUUAGAAUCUUGAUAACGUGGUGGGAUGAGGGGCGUGUGCGAGUGAACUCGGUUGAGUUUAGCGAGUUUGGUGGAUUGAAGCGCGGUAAAUCGGGUGAGGAAAGGGCGGCGCUAUUUUGGGAUUCUUAGAGAUUAGGG